This 253-nucleotide ribosomal RNA is filed under the name uncultured bacterium. RNAcentral describes it as "partial 16S ribosomal RNA". It matches the Rfam family "Bacterial small subunit ribosomal RNA", at positions 524 to 776 of the family's 1533-position model. The record is from RNAcentral.
UACAGAGGUGGCAAGCGUUGUUCGGAAUUACUGGGCGUAAAGGGCGCGUAGGCGGCCUUCUAAGUCAGACGUGAAAUCCCCCGGCUUAACCUGGGAACUGCGUCCGAUACUGGAAGGCUUGAAUCCGGGAGAGGGAUGUGGAAUUCCAGGUGUAGCGGUGAAAUGCGUAGAUAUCUGGAGGAACACCGGUGGCGAAGGCGACAUCCUGGACCGGUAUUGACGCUGAGGCGCGAAAGCCAGGGGAGCAAACGGG